Molecule: long non-coding RNA, 148 nt
Organism: Haliotis rubra (blacklip abalone)
Lineage: Eukaryota; Metazoa; Mollusca; Gastropoda; Lepetellida; Haliotidae
Exons: 4
Source: RefSeq, a predicted model, not a curated record
AUAUUGUUGUACAAAUAGAAGUAGUCUCUCGUACAGACCCUGAAGCAAAUAUAUCCAAGAGAAGCCCACACAAGGCUAGAAAAUGUGGCAGAGUCCUAGAUUUCCUCAGCUUCAGAAUGAAGAAAGAUCUCAGGGGCCCUUUUCAUUA